RNAcentral lists this ribosomal RNA (256 nucleotides) under uncultured bacterium. RNAcentral describes it as "partial 16S ribosomal RNA". It matches the Rfam family "Bacterial small subunit ribosomal RNA", at positions 524 to 776 of the family's 1533-position model. The record is from RNAcentral.
UACGUAGGGGGCGAGCGUUGUCCGGAUUUAUUGGGCGUAAAGAGCUCGUAGGCGGUUCGGCAAGUCGGAUGUGAAAUCUCCACGCUCAACGUGGAGGGGUCAUUCGAUACUGCCGUGACUCGAGUCCGGUAGGGGAGUGUGGAAUACCCGGUGGAGCGGUGAAAUGCGCAGAGAUCGGGUGGAACACCGAUGGCGAAGGCAGGUCUCUGGGCAGUUUAGCUGACACUGAGGCGCGACAGCGUGGGGAGCAAACAGG